Non-coding RNA from Lipotes vexillifer (Yangtze River dolphin), 1044 nucleotides. The record is from the annotation of a RefSeq genome assembly. NCBI's taxonomy places the organism in Eukaryota, Metazoa, Chordata, Mammalia, Artiodactyla, Lipotidae.
CCAGCCCCUGAGCUCCCAGGAGGACCGUCCGUCUUCAUCUUCCCCCCGAAACCCAGGGACAUCCUCACAAUAUCCCAAACACCCGAGGUCACAUGCGUUGUGGUUGACGUGAGCCAUGAGGACCCCGAUGUCCAGUUCUCCUGGUACGUGGAUGAUGUAGAGUUGCGAACGGCCAAGACGAAGCCAAAGGAGGAGCAGUUCAACAGCACCUACCGUGUGGUCAGCGCCCUGCCCAUCCAGCACCAGGACUGGCUGAAGGGGAAGGUGUUCACGUGCAAGGUCAACAACAAAGGCCUCCCGGCCCCCAUCGUGAGGACCAUCUCCAAGGCCAAAGGGCAGCCCCGGGAGCCGCAGGUGUACGUACUGGCCCCAGCGCGGGAAGAGCUGGCCAAGAGCUCGGUCAGCGUAACCUGCAUGGUCAUCGCCUUCUACCCGGCCGACAUCGACGUGGGGUGGCACAGAAACGGGCAGCCGGAGCCAGAGGGCAACUACGGCACGACCCCGGCCCAGCUGGACGCCGACGGCUCCUUCUUCCUGUACAGCAGGCUCAGGGUGGACAAGAGGAGCUGGCAGCGCGGAGACACCUACACGUGUGUAGUGUUGCACGAGGCGCUACACAACCACAACUCGCAGAAGUCCAUCACCCAGUCUUCGGUUUGUCACCACCAGUGCGGGCGAGCUGACCCCCUCAGGGCCGGACCCAGCGUGUGCGGGUCUGCGCAGGCCGCUUGGGGGCUGCCCGAGGCCGGGGAGGGCCUCUCCCGGAGGGGACAGCUGCUCCGGCCGCCCUCCACCCAGCAGCUGCUGGGGCUGGAGUGUGUGCCCGGGACGGGAGACCCUCAGGAGAAGUCCGCGUGCCGGCUCUCCGCCCUCACGGGGGCCACACACGGCCCGGGGUUGGGGGACGGCCCGGCUGCACUGUCAGGCACGGGAGGUCAGGACCGCCCCGCCUCAGGCCAGGUGAAGUGGAUCUUCUCGUCGGUGGUGGAGCUGAAGCGGACGAUUGUCCCUGACUACAGGAACAUGAUCGGGCAGGGUGCCUAG